Molecule: long non-coding RNA, 1907 nt
Filed under: Callithrix jacchus (white-tufted-ear marmoset)
Lineage: Eukaryota; Metazoa; Chordata; Mammalia; Primates; Cebidae
Description: lncRNA (ENSCJAG00000076500.1)
Source: RNAcentral
AUAGAAGUGAACCAGGUUUGGUCUCAGAGGCUAAUGGUUGCAGUGGUGAUGGAGAAUGACUCCCAUGAGGUUGGAUGCCCCUUUCCAAACUAGCCUCUCUCCCUCAUCCUUCCUCCACAGCCUGGAUAAAACUGGCAGUAAAGGUCAGUGGUUGAGGGUGUGGAAACCAGAAGGCCUGCAUUUGAAUCCUGUCCCUGUCACUGACUAGCUUCAUGGCCUCAGGAAUCAGCACUGAUGGCCUUCUCUGGGAACCUGCUCCUGCAUUUGGAACAGGAGACUCACCUGGAUUGAAGGUGUGGAGCCUUCACCUGGGGCCUGCAGCUCCUCUGGCCCAGCCUCCUCAAGCACUCCUGUCUCUCAAGCCCAUACGGAUUCCUUCUGAGCUGGCUACACCAGGGCUCUUUGCAUCCCUCUGCCCAUGGGGUUUAACGUAAAGUGUACCUAGGCUCAAAACCUGCCUUCUCUACCUAUUUACUCUGUGCGGCUUUGGGCAAGUUACUAAACCUCUCUGAGCUUCUGUCCCCUCUUUGUAAAAUGGGGUUGAUAAUAGCAUCUGCCCCAUAGGUUUGCUGUGAGGCUCCAGUGAGAUUGACAGUGCACAUAAAACACUUACUAAAGGCCUGGCAGAGUUCGAAUUCGAUAAAGGGCAGCUCUUACCGUCGCAAAAACCAAGGCUGCUCCAACAUUGCCCUCACCUGGGUAGGAGCUGCCUUUGAAGACAGGAACCAACUCCCUCAACUUCAUGUGCCCACCUGGCAUGGUGCCUGAUACACAGUGGGGGCUCAAAUGUCUGUGAGUUGAAAUAUUUGAUAGCACUGUGUUCUCUCUUCUCAUUUACAUUUUAUCUUUCUUGAGGAUAAAAAUUGCAUGUAUUGCAAAUCAAUUUCAUAGAUUGACUUUUUAAUUUUAAUAAGAUAUACCUAACAUAAAAGUUAACCAUGGUCACAGCUUUUAACUGCACAGUUCAGUGGCAUUGAGUCCAUGCACAUUGUUGUGCAACCACGUGGCUUAUUUUUUUUUUUUUUUUUGAGACAGAGUCUUGCUCUAUCACCAGGCUGGAGUGUAGCAGCAUGAUCCCGGCUCACUGCAAUUCUCCUGCCUCAGCCUCCCGAGUAGCUGGGACUUCAGGAAUGCACCACCAGUCCUGGCUAUUUUUUUUAGUAGAGAUAGGGUUUCACCAUGUUGGCAAGGAUGGUCUUGAUCUCUUGACCUCGUGAUCUGCCCGCCUUGGCCUCCCAAAAUGCUGGGAUUAUAGGCCUGAGCCAUCGCGCCCAGCCCAUGUGCCAUUUUUAAAAACAUCCACAGCAGCCAGCUCAGGACCAGGCAUAGAAGCUGAAUCUCUAUCGACUGAGUGGACAUGAAUAGAGAAGCCCCGCACCAGGAGGCAGGCUUCAUUCAAAAGGGACCACCCCUGUGUCACGUUUAUUGAGCACCUGCUAUGUCCCCCUAACAUGUGUCACAGUUCCUGGACAUAGCAGGUGCUCAAUAAACGUGAAACGUGCCACAAGCAGAAGUUGCACACUGGCAGGAAAGUGGGACGGGGCCAUGAGGCACGUUGUUUGGGGCCACACAAACUUUUUCUAUUUUAAAGUUAAAAAUAAAUUGUUUUGAAUAAGUUGCACUCUCACAUAAAAAUCCAUAUUGUAGCUUCUCUUGAAAGACAGAAGGCUCUGGCUGCUUUGGGCCUGCAUGUUUGGAUGGCAGCACUCUGCUAGCACUGAGCACAGCCUGCCCCUUUGGAUGGAGUGGACGGUCUCCAGGCCGCUGCUCUCACUGAAAUGACUCCCUUGCUCCCCUGAGCGCUUGAGUUUGAGACCCUGCUGUACAGUCAGAUGAACAGGACUUGAGACUUACUUCCUUAGCUGAACAGCUGAGAGCACUUAAGGAGGUCAGCCAGCCUCUGAGCC